CGGCGCUGCUGGUGGAGGACCCCAGCGCGUUCUACCAGGCCGCGCGGGCCAAGUUCGACUCCUCCGCCACCGAC
Molecule: transfer RNA, 74 nt
Filed under: Arthrobacter sp. Bi26
Lineage: Bacteria; Bacillati; Actinomycetota; Actinomycetes; Micrococcales; Micrococcaceae
Description: tRNA-Gly
Source: RNAcentral